UAUGUGAUCGUCUCUCGCAUAUCAAUAAGCGGAGGAAAAGAAACUAACAAGGAUUCCCCUAGUAACGGCGAGUGAAGCGGGAAGAGCUCAAAUUUGAAAUCUUAAAGGGUUUCCCUUACGAAUUGUAGUUUAAAGAAGUGUUUUCUGUUGAGGUUUUGGUAAAAGUUCUUUGGAAUAGGACAUCAUAGAGGGUGAGAAUCCCGUAUUUGACCUUUACUUUCAACUUUGUGAUACACUUUCAAAGAGUCGGAUUGUUUGGGAAUGCAGUCCAAAAUGGGUGGUAAAUUUCAUCUAAAGCUAAAUAUUGGCGAGAGACCGAUAGCGAACAAGUACCGUGAGGGAAAGAUGAAAAGAACUUUGAAAAGAGAGUUAAACAGUACGUGAAAUUGUCAAAAGGGAAGCGUUUGACACCAGUGUUGUUUUUCUGAAAAUCAAUUAAAGAACUGUUUAUGCUAAGCUGUUUAGACUUUAUCAGCUAAUCUGUUUAGUUUUGAGCUUUUCUUUAAUGCACUUUUCAGUUAACAAGUCAACAUCAAUUUCUUUUGCUGUAAAAAAGCUUGAGGAAGGUGGCUUGAGAUUCGUCUUAAGUGUUUAUAGCCUCUUGCCUAUGCAGUCGGAGAGAUUGAGGUCUGCAGCGUAGAUCCUUCGGGGCUAAAUGCAUUUGUGCUAAGUUAUAGCAUUUUAUAGACAACUUGUUGACUAUGAUUUGUCUUGUAGCUUACUCGCUUAUGUUAUUUUACCUACGCUUAGGAUGUUGACGCGCGUGUGUGCGUG
RNAcentral lists this ribosomal RNA (774 nucleotides) under uncultured Neocallimastigales. RNAcentral describes it as "partial large subunit ribosomal RNA". It matches the Rfam family "Eukaryotic large subunit ribosomal RNA", at positions 24 to 639 of the family's 3401-position model. The record is from RNAcentral. Lineage: Eukaryota; Fungi; Neocallimastigomycota; Neocallimastigomycetes; Neocallimastigales.